This 467-nucleotide ribosomal RNA is filed under the name uncultured bacterium. RNAcentral describes it as "partial 16S ribosomal RNA". It matches the Rfam family "Bacterial small subunit ribosomal RNA", at positions 29 to 507 of the family's 1533-position model. The record is from RNAcentral.
ACGAACGCUGGCGGCGUGCUUAACACAUGCAAGUCGAACGGAAAGGCCCUGCUUUUGUGGGGUGCUCGAGUGGCGAACGGGUGAGUAACACGUGAGUAACCUGCCCUUGACUUUGGGAUAACUUCAGGAAACUGGGGCUAAUACCGGAUAGGAGCUCCUGCUGCAUGGUGGGGGUUGGAAAGUUUCGGCGGUUGGGGAUGGACUCGCGGCUUAUCAGCUUGUUGGUGGGGUAGUGGCUUACCAAGGCUUUGACGGGUAGCCGGCCUGAGAGGGUGACCGGCCACAUUGGGACUGAGAUACGGCCCAGACUCCUACGGGAGGCAGCAGUGGGGAAUAUUACACAAUGGGCGGAAGCCUGAUGCAGCAACGCCGCGUGCGGGAUGACGGCCUUCGGGUUGUAAACCGCUUUCGCCUGUGACGAAGCGUGAGUGACGGUAAUGUGUAAAGAAGCACCGGCUAACUACGUG